UACGUAGGGUGCGAGCGUUGUCCGGAAUUAUUGGGCGUAAAGAGCUCGUAGGCGGUGUGUCACGUCGGCCGUGAAAACCUGCAGCUUAACUGUGGGCGUGCGGUCGAUACGGGCAUCACUGGAGUUCGGCAGGGGAGACUGGAGUUCCUGGUGUAGCGGUGGAAUGCGCAGAUAUCAGGAGGAACACCGGUGGCGAAGGCGGGUCUCUGGGCAGUAACUGACGCUGAGGAGCGAAAGCGUGGGGAGCGAACAGG
Molecule: ribosomal RNA, 254 nt
Filed under: uncultured bacterium
Lineage: Bacteria
Description: partial 16S ribosomal RNA
Rfam family: Bacterial small subunit ribosomal RNA
Source: RNAcentral